ACUGCAGGCUGCAACCCGCCUGCACGAAGCCGGAAUCGCUAGUAAUCGCGGAUCAGAAUGCCGCGGUGAAUACGUUCCCGGGUCUUGUACACACCGCCCGUCACACCAUGGGAGUCGGAAAUGCCCGAAGCCGGUGACCCAACCCGAAAGGGAGGGAGCCGUCGAAGGCAGGUCGGAUGACUGGGGUGAAGUCGUAACAAGGUACC
This 206-nucleotide ribosomal RNA is filed under the name uncultured bacterium. RNAcentral's name for it is "partial 16S ribosomal RNA". It matches the Rfam family "Bacterial small subunit ribosomal RNA", at positions 1297 to 1500 of the family's 1533-position model. The record is from RNAcentral.